This 72-nucleotide transfer RNA is filed under the name Camelus bactrianus (Bactrian camel). It matches the Rfam family "tRNA". Rfam says of the family: Transfer RNA (tRNA) molecules are approximately 80 nucleotides in length. Their secondary structure includes four short double-helical elements and three loops (D, anti-codon, and T loops). The record is from Rfam by way of RNAcentral. Lineage: Eukaryota; Metazoa; Chordata; Mammalia; Artiodactyla; Camelidae. RNAcentral also lists the same sequence under 1 other name.
GAAAUUAUAGCUCAGUGGUAGAGCACAUGUUUAGCAUGCAUGAGGUUCUGAAUUCAAUCCUCAGUUCCUCCA